RNAcentral lists this ribosomal RNA (865 nucleotides) under uncultured fungus. Its description in RNAcentral is "eukaryotic LSU rRNA". The stretch from base 517 to 865 matches the Rfam family "Eukaryotic large subunit ribosomal RNA", at positions 1 to 342 of the family's 3401-position model. Lineage: Eukaryota; Fungi. The record is from RNAcentral.
GGAAGGAUCAUUAUUGAAAUAAACCUGAUGGGUUGCUGCUGGUUCUCUAGGGAGCAUGUGCACACCUUGUCAUCUUUAUAUCUCCACCUGUGCACUUUUUGUAGACCUUUCAGGUCUAUGUUGCUUCAUUUACCCCAAUGUAUGUUAAUAGAAUGUUGUGCCUAUAUAAUAUAUACAACUUUCAGCAACGGAUCUCUUGGCUCUCGCAUCGAUGAAGAACGCAGCGAAAUGCGAUAAGUAAUGUGAAUUGCAGAAUUCAGUGAAUCAUCGAAUCUUUGAACGCACCUUGCGCUCCUUGGUAUUCCGAGGAGCAUGCCUGUUUGAGUGUCAUUAAUAUAUCAACCUUCUCUUUUUUGAGUUGUUUGGAUGUGGGGGUUUGCUGGCCUCUUAAAUGAUUCAGCUCCCCUGAAAUGCAUUAGCAGAACAACCUGUUCAUUGGCGUGAUAAUUAUCUAUGCUAUUGAAUGUGAGGGGCAGUUCAGCUUUCUAACCGUCCUCGGACAAUUCAUCAUUAAUGUGACCUCAAAUCAGGUAGGACUACCCGCUGAACUUAAGCAUAUCAAUAAGCGGAGGAAAAGAAACUAACAAGGAUUCCCCUAGUAACUGCGAGUGAAGCGGGAAAAGCUCAAAUUUAAAAUCUGGCGGUCUUUUGGCUGUCCGAGUUGUAAUCUAGAGAAGUGUUAUCCGCGCUGGACCGUGUACAAGUCUCCUGGAAUGGAGCAUCAUAGAGGGUGAGAAUCCCGUCUUUGACAUGGACUGCCAGGGCUUUGUGAUGCGCUCUCAAAGAGUCGAGUUGUUUGGGAAUGCAGCUCAAAAUGGGUGGUAAAUUCCAUCUAAAGCUAAAUAUUGGCGAGAGACCGAUAGCG